UCGAGAAUAAUUCACAAUGGGGGAAACCCUGAUGGUGCAACGCCGCGUGGAGGAUGAAGGUCUUCGGAUUGUAAACUCCUGUCAUCGGGGAGUAAGACCUGGGCGUGAAUAGCGCACAGGGUUGAUAGUACCCGAAGAGGAAGGGACGGCUAACUUCGUGCCAGCAGCCGCGGUAAUACGAAGGUGCCAAGCGUUGUUCGGAAUCACUGGGCGUAAAGGGAGCGCAGGCGGCGUGGUAAGUCAGAUGUG
RNAcentral lists this ribosomal RNA (249 nucleotides) under uncultured Verrucomicrobiaceae bacterium. Its description in RNAcentral is "partial 16S ribosomal RNA". It matches the Rfam family "Bacterial small subunit ribosomal RNA", at positions 355 to 596 of the family's 1533-position model. Lineage: Bacteria; Pseudomonadati; Verrucomicrobiota; Verrucomicrobiia; Verrucomicrobiales; Verrucomicrobiaceae. The record is from RNAcentral.